RNAcentral lists this ribosomal RNA (482 nucleotides) under uncultured bacterium. Its description in RNAcentral is "partial 16S ribosomal RNA". It matches the Rfam family "Bacterial small subunit ribosomal RNA", at positions 30 to 507 of the family's 1533-position model. The record is from RNAcentral.
AUUGAACGCUGGCGGCAUGCCUUACACAUGCAAGUCGAACGGUAACAGGUCUUCGGAUGCUGACGAGUGGCGGACGGGUGAGUAAUACAUCGGAACGUGCCCGAUCGUGGGGGAUAACGGAGCGCAAGCUUUGCUAAUACCGCAUACGAUCUACGGAUGAAAGCAGGGUGCCUCAAGGCCUUGCGCGGACGGAGCGGCCGAUGGCAGAUUAGGUAGUUGGUGAGAUAAAAGCUUACCAAGCCGACGAUUUGUAGCUGGCCUGAGAGGACGACCCGCCACACUGGGACUGAGACACGGCCCAGACUCCUACGGGAGGCAGCAGUGGGGAAUCUUGGACAAUGGGCGAAAGCCUGAUCCAGCCAUGCCGCGUGCAGGAUGAAGGUCUUCGGGUUGUAAACUUCUUUUGUACGGAACGAAAAGACUCUUACGAAUAAAGAGGGUCCAUGACGGUACCGUAAGAAUAAGCACCGGCUAACUACGUG